UCCCCGUUAACCGGGGCAGUCCCCCUAGAGUUCCCGGCUUGACCCGUUGGCAACUAGGGGCGAGGGUUGCGCUCGUUGCGGGACUUAACCCAACAUCUCACGGCACGAGCUGACGACAGCCAUGCAGCACCUGUGCUGGCUACCCUUGCGAGUUCAUUGCCGUUUCCGGUUUGGUACCACCAGCACCCAAGCCUUGGUAAGGUUCUUCGCGUUGCGACGAAUUAAACCGCACGCUCCGCUGCUUGUGCGGGCCCCCGUCAAUUCCUUUGAGUUUUAGCCUUGCGGCCGUACUCCCCAGGCGGGACACUUAUUGCGUUAGCUUCGGCACGGAGGGGGUCGAUACCCCCCACACCUAGUGUCCAUAGUUUACGGCGUGGACUAC
Molecule: unclassified non-coding RNA, 382 nt
Filed under: uncultured bacterium
Lineage: Bacteria
Description: contains 16S-23S intergenic spacer region
Source: RNAcentral